Molecule: long non-coding RNA, 251 nt
Filed under: Brassica rapa (field mustard)
Lineage: Eukaryota; Viridiplantae; Streptophyta; Magnoliopsida; Brassicales; Brassicaceae
Description: long non-coding RNA (BRAP_LNC007339)
Source: RNAcentral
UCUGUUUCCAUGGUUGCUCCAAGUUAUUCAUGUGCAUUGAUUGUAUAUAUAUGGAUUCGUUUGCUUUCACAUCUAUCUCUAAUGUUCUUGCUACAACAUAAAACUUGUUCCACAACGAGAUCGUCAGAUCCAUCAGCUUACAACUUUAAUAGCCGCAAUAUAAUUUAUAUUACAUGAAUCAGAUCACAAUGACUUCAACAGAGGAACAGGCUGCAAACUAGGAAGAAGAGGAAGCAGCUUGAGUACUCGGG